UACGUAGGGUGCAAGCAUUAUCCGGAGUGACUGGGCGUAAAGAGUUGCGUAGGUGGACAAGUAAGCGAAUAGUGAAAUCUCACGGCUCAACCGUGUAGACUAUUACUCGAACUGCUUGUCUCGAGAAUGGUAGAGGUAACUGGAAUUUCUAGUGUAGGAGUGAAAUCCGUAGAUAUUAGAAGGAACACCAAUGGCGUAGGCAGGUUACUGGACCAUUUCUGACACUGAGGCACGAAAGCGUGGGGAGCGAACCGG
Molecule: ribosomal RNA, 255 nt
Filed under: uncultured bacterium
Lineage: Bacteria
Description: partial 16S ribosomal RNA
Rfam family: Bacterial small subunit ribosomal RNA
Source: RNAcentral